UCCCAGGUGGCUCAGUGGUAAAGAAUCUGCCUGCAGCGCAGACGACGUAGGAGACUCAGGUUCAAUCCCUGGGUUGGGAA
This 80-nucleotide transfer RNA is filed under the name Capra hircus (goat). It matches the Rfam family "tRNA". From Rfam's summary of the family: Transfer RNA (tRNA) molecules are approximately 80 nucleotides in length. RNAcentral also lists the same sequence under 1 other name. The record is from Rfam by way of RNAcentral. Lineage: Eukaryota; Metazoa; Chordata; Mammalia; Artiodactyla; Bovidae.